This 459-nucleotide ribosomal RNA is filed under the name uncultured bacterium. Its description in RNAcentral is "partial 16S ribosomal RNA". It matches the Rfam family "Bacterial small subunit ribosomal RNA", at positions 338 to 795 of the family's 1533-position model. The record is from RNAcentral.
CCUACGGGUGGCUGCAGUGAGGAAUAUUGGUCAAUGGUCGUAAGGCUGAACCAGCCAAGUAGCGUGCAGGAUGACGGUCCUAUGGAUUGUAAACUUCUUUUGUCCGGGCGUAAAGGGCGCCACGUGUGACGUUUUGUGAGUACCUGAUGAAAAAGCAUCGGCUAAUUCCGUGCCAGCAGCCGCGGUAAUACGGAGGGUGCGAGCGUUAUCCGGAUUUAUUGGGUUUAAGGGGUGCGCAGGCGGAAUGUCAAGUCAGCGGUAAAAUUACGGGGCUCAACCCCGUCGUGCCGUUGAAACUGGCUUGCUUGAGUGAGCGGGAAGUAUGAGGAAUGCGUGGUGUAGCGGUGAAAUGCUUAGAUAUCACGCAGAACUCCGAUUGCGAAGGCAGCAUACGGGAGCUCUACUGACGCUCAUGCACGAAAGCGUGGGUAUCGAACAGGAUUAGAAACCCGUGUAGUC